Non-coding RNA from Glycine max (soybean), 127 nucleotides. Lineage: Eukaryota; Viridiplantae; Streptophyta; Magnoliopsida; Fabales; Fabaceae. The record is from Rfam.
AAAGUGGAGUGCAGCCAAGGGUGAUUUGCCGGCACAGGCACUAAUUAGUUCAAUAUUGAAUAGUUAGUUCUGUUUGAUUGAUUUACUUCUGUGCCGGCAAGUUUCUCUUGGCUACAUUUCGCUUUCU